Acanthosepion pharaonis is the source of this 99-nucleotide non-coding RNA. The record is from the annotation of a GenBank genome assembly. Lineage: Eukaryota; Metazoa; Mollusca; Cephalopoda; Sepiida; Sepiidae.
UUACGGCCGUAUCCCGUUGAAACAUCAGUUCUCCUCCGAUCACCGAAGUUAAGCAAUUUCGAGCCUGGUCAGUAUUUAGACGGAUAAACGCUUGGGAAU